This 70-nucleotide transfer RNA is filed under the name Bavayia borealis. RNAcentral describes it as "tRNA-Tyr". Lineage: Eukaryota; Metazoa; Chordata; Lepidosauria; Squamata; Diplodactylidae. The record is from RNAcentral.
GGUAGAGUGGCCGAGAGUUAGGCGGCAGGCUGUAGUCCUGCUAACAUGGGUAUAAGUUUUGAAUCUAUCA